UACAGAGGUCCCAAGCGUUGUUCGGAUUCACUGGGCGUAAAGGGUGCGUAGGUGGCAGGGUAAGUUUGAUGUGAAAUCUCCGAGCUUAACUCGGAAACUGCAUUGAAUACUAUCCUGCUCGAGGGUUGGAAGGGGGACUGGAAUUCUCGGUGGAGCAGUGAAAUGCGUAGAUAUCGAGAGGAACACCAGUGGCGAAGGCGAGUCCCUGGACAACACCUGACACUGAGGCACGAAAGCUAGGGGAGCAAACAGG
Molecule: ribosomal RNA, 253 nt
Filed under: uncultured bacterium
Lineage: Bacteria
Description: partial 16S ribosomal RNA
Rfam family: Bacterial small subunit ribosomal RNA
Source: RNAcentral